AUUGAUUCAUUAAAAAUAUUGUCCUUGAUUCAUCACUUUGUUUAUCCCAACAUUUGUCAACUAGUUCUGACUAAAGUCCAACCACACUUUGUACUCAUUUGCCCAAAGGAAGAACAGAAGAAUCGCAGGGUGAGAGGACCAGAGAAUCUGAGACCUCAUCGAGACUCUCAGAGUCACUGUUACUCUGUGACCCUGGGUAAGACAAAUCCUCUGUUGCUAUUGAUGGCUACUUGAAGUGCUUCCUCCAGUCUUUCCAUUGUAGAAUAUUUAGGGAGGUCCAGAAUAGUAUGACAUAUCAAUAAUCUCAGGUUAUCUCUUUCACUGAAAGUUUCAGGACAGUGAAACAGGAUUUCCAUUUCCUGUAUGCCUCUUAUAUGCAGCCUGCCAUUUCAUCUAAGAAAAACUACAAAGGAAUAAACUUUGGCUAAGAUAGGUUGCAGAAAGAUCAAAACUUAAAAUGAAAAGGAAGAAAUUAGUCACUUCAUUUAACAAAUAGUAUUGAGUAUUCUUAUGCAGAGAAAACUAUAUGGACCAUAUGGAACAUAGAAAACAUGACAUUUGGUCUUCAUCUUCAGUGAGUUCAUAAUAUAACUGAGGAGAAAUUACAUUCAUGAAAAGAUAAUAGCAAGUUACAAGGAAGUUUAAUGUAGCUCAACAGAAAGUAUGAGGUGAGAGCCUACAGAAGGCCCUGAGACUCAGGGCAGGGAGGAAACACCAGGCUGGGAUAGUGGGGGCUCCUCAGAGGUCACAUCUGGCUAGUUAGUUCUCAAGGAGAAGACUUGGGUGAGCUUUGAAGACAGGGGAAGAAAGCCCCAGAGAAGGCCAGAGAUGGGAAGAGGUAAGAUGACAGACCCACUGGGCAGAAGCAGGUGUUUUUUCCAUUAAGAAAGAAAAUUGGAAAGUUAGUUUGUGCUUGGGGAGAAGAAGGUUGCAUUUGUGGAGAAGUUGAAAUUGUCCUUCACCAUCCUUAGUAGCAGCAAAAAUAGCAAGAAGAAAAGAUGUGUAUUUCAGGAAGAACUGAAAACGACUGAGGAGGUUAAUUUGUGGAAAGCUUUCCAAAACAUCAGUAUAUGAAGAUGUGAUUUGUGGUAUCCUUCACCACAUUUUGAAUUCCUGAGAAAAAAGGAGAAAAAUGGUUUUUAGGGGGAAUACAUAGAAGUUUUUUGGAAGAACUGGGAGCACUGUAGUCAUAACCUACCUCUUCAAAUUGUUCCCAGGUACUGAGAUGCCAUCUGGAAUUAAAGCAACAUCAUUUUGGUCGCAGUGUAGGAGCAACCAAAAUGUAUUCAGAUACCAAACAUGAAAGAAAGUCUGAAUAAUUAACCAUAAUACCAUUAUUGCCAGUACAUUCUUCCCUAAAAAAAUUUGAAUAACUGUGAACUAAGUAACUAUUUAUGUAAUU
This is a long non-coding RNA of Manis pentadactyla (Chinese pangolin), 1402 nucleotides long. RefSeq lists it as uncharacterized. NCBI's taxonomy places the organism in Eukaryota, Metazoa, Chordata, Mammalia, Pholidota, Manidae. The transcript is spliced from 3 exons. The record is from RefSeq and is a predicted model, not a curated record.